This 429-nucleotide ribosomal RNA is filed under the name Actinomycetes bacterium. RNAcentral's name for it is "Actinobacteria bacterium partial 16S ribosomal RNA". It matches the Rfam family "Bacterial small subunit ribosomal RNA", at positions 355 to 776 of the family's 1533-position model. Lineage: Bacteria; Bacillati; Actinomycetota; Actinomycetes. The record is from RNAcentral.
UAGGGAAUCUUCCGCAAUGGGCGAAAGCCUGACGGAGCAACGCCGCGUGAGUGAUGAAGGUCUUCGGAUCGUAAAACUCUGUUAUUAGGGAAGAACAAAUGUGUAAGUAACUAUGCACGUCUUGACGGUACCUAAUCAGAAAGCCACGGCUAACUACGUGCCAGCAGCCGCGGUAAUACGUAGGUGGCAAGCGUUAUCCGGAAUUAUUGGGCGUAAAGCGCGCGUAGGCGGUUUUUUAAGUCUGAUGUGAAAGCCCACGGCUCAACCGUGGAGUGUCAUUGGAAACUGGAAAGCUUGAGUGCAGAAGAGGCAAGUGGAAUUCCCUGUGUAGCAGUGAAAUGCGCAGAGAUAUGGAGGAACACGAGUGGCGAAGGCGACUUUCUGGUAUGUAACUGACGCUGAUGUGCGAAAGCGUGGGGAUCAAACAGG